GUGGGGAAUUUUGGACAAUGGGGGCAACCCUGAUCCAGCCAUGCCGCGUGCGGGAAGAAGGCCUUCGGGUUGUAAACCGCUUUUGUCAGGGAAGAAAUCCUUUGGGUUAAUACCUCGGAGGGAUGACGGUACCUGAAGAAUAAGCACCGGCUAACUACGUGCCAGCAGCCGCGGUAAUACGUAGGGUGCGAGCGUUAAUCGGAAUUACUGGGCGUAAAGCGUGCGAAGGCGGUAUUGUAAGAUCGAUGUGAAAUCCGCGGGCUCAACCUGGGAACUGCAUUGGUGACUGCAAGGCUGGAGUACGGCAGAGGGGGAAGGAAUUCCGCGUGUAGCAGUGAAAUGCGUAGAUAUGCGGAGGAACACCGAUGGCGAAGGCAAUCCCCUGGGCCUGCACUGACGCUCAUGCACGAAAGCGUGGGGAGCAAACAGGAUUAGAAACACCAGUAGUCC
Molecule: ribosomal RNA, 450 nt
Filed under: uncultured bacterium
Lineage: Bacteria
Description: partial 16S ribosomal RNA
Rfam family: Bacterial small subunit ribosomal RNA
Source: RNAcentral